This 29-nucleotide non-coding RNA is filed under the name Homo sapiens (human). Lineage: Eukaryota; Metazoa; Chordata; Mammalia; Primates; Hominidae. The record is from RNAcentral.
UGUGGUGAUGGAGUACGCCAGAGGAGGUA